UUAUACGAAUUGAUAUACCAGCUCUUCCCACAACAGCGACACAAACCUAGAGGGAUCUGUGUGAGCACGAUUCAACAGCUGAACCACUUCUAUGUUGAGAUUGCAUAUUUUGGCAGAAGCCAGCUGUCAUGUCCUGAGCAGUGCAUUGGAGAGGCCCAUGUGGUGAGGAACUGAAAUCUCCUGCCAAAGGCAGCCAUCAAGGUGCCCUCCAGUGAAUGGAGACU
Molecule: long non-coding RNA, 224 nt
Organism: Choloepus didactylus (southern two-toed sloth)
Lineage: Eukaryota; Metazoa; Chordata; Mammalia; Pilosa; Megalonychidae
Exons: 3
Source: RefSeq, a predicted model, not a curated record